This 253-nucleotide ribosomal RNA is filed under the name uncultured bacterium. RNAcentral's name for it is "partial 16S ribosomal RNA". It matches the Rfam family "Bacterial small subunit ribosomal RNA", at positions 524 to 776 of the family's 1533-position model. The record is from RNAcentral.
UACGUAGGGGGCAAGCGUUGUCCGGAUUUAUUGGGCGUAAAGAGCGUGUAGGCGGCCUGAAAGGUCAGCUGUGAAAACUCGAGGCUCAACCUCGAGACGUCGGUUGAAACCAUCUGGCUAGAGUCCGGAAGAGGAGUGUGGAAUUCCCGGUGUAGCGGUGAAAUGCGCAGAUAUCGGGAAGAACACCCGUGGCGAAGGCGGCACUCUGGGACGGUACUGACGCUGAGACGCGAAAGCUAGGGGAGCAAACAGG